Molecule: ribosomal RNA, 570 nt
Filed under: uncultured bacterium
Lineage: Bacteria
Description: bacterial SSU rRNA
Rfam family: Bacterial small subunit ribosomal RNA
Source: RNAcentral
CCUACGGGAGGCAGCAGUGAGGAAUAUUGGACAAUGGGCGCAAGCCUGAUCCAGCCAUGCCGCGUGCAGGAUGACGGUCCUAUGGAUUGUAAACUGCUUUUGCACAGGAAGAAACAACAUUACGUGUAAUGUCUUGACGGUACUGUGAGAAUAAGGAUCGGCUAACUCCGUGCCAGCAGCCGCGGUAAUACGGAGGAUCCAAGCGUUAUCCGGAAUCAUUGGGUUUAAAGGUCCGUAGGCGGUUUAGUAAGUCAGUGGUGAAAGCCCAUCGCUCAACGGUGGAACGGCCAUUGAUACUGCUAGACUUGAAUUAUAGGAAGUAACUAGAAUAUGUAGUGUAGCGGUGAAAUGCUUAGAGAUUACAUGGAAUACCAAUUGCGAAGGCAGGUUACUACUAAUUGAUUGACGCUGAUGGACGAAAGCGUAGGGUAGCGAACAGGAUUAGAUACCCUGGUAGUCCACGCCGUAAACGAUGGAUACUAGCUGUUGGGAGCGAUCUCAGUGGCUAAGCGAAAGUGAUAGUAUCCCACUGGGGAGUACGUUGCAAGAUGAAACUCAAAGGAAUUGAGG